GACGAACGCUGGCGGCGUGCUUAACACAUGCAAGUCGAACGGAAAGGCCCUGCUUUUGCGGGGUGCUCGAGUGGCGAACGGGUGAGUAACACGUGAGUAACCUGCCCUUGACUUUGGGAUAACUUCAGGAAACUGGGGCUAAUACCGGAUAGGAGCUCCUGCUGCAUGGUGGGGGUUGGAAAGUUUCGGCGGUUGGGGAUGGACUCGCGGCUUAUCAGCUUGUUGGUGGGGUAGUUGCUUACCAAGGCUUUGACGGGUAGCCGGCCUGGGAGGGUGAACGGCCACAUUGGGACUGAGAUACGGCCCAGACUCCUACGGGAGGCAGCAGUGGGGAAUAUGGCACAGUGGGCGGGAGCGUGAGGCAGAGGCGCCGCGUGCGGGAUGACGGCCUUCGUGUUAUGAACCGCUUUCGCCUGAGACGAAGCGUGAGUGACGGUAAUGAGUAAAGAAGCACCGGCUAACUACGUG
RNAcentral lists this ribosomal RNA (468 nucleotides) under uncultured bacterium. RNAcentral describes it as "partial 16S ribosomal RNA". It matches the Rfam family "Bacterial small subunit ribosomal RNA", at positions 28 to 507 of the family's 1533-position model. The record is from RNAcentral.